RNAcentral lists this ribosomal RNA (388 nucleotides) under uncultured soil bacterium. RNAcentral's name for it is "bacterial SSU rRNA". It matches the Rfam family "Bacterial small subunit ribosomal RNA", at positions 26 to 433 of the family's 1533-position model. The record is from RNAcentral.
AGAGCGAACGCUGGCGGCAGGCCUAACACAUGCAAGUCGAACGGACCCUUCGGGGUUAGUGGCGGACGGGUGAGUAACACGUGGGAACGUGCCUUUAGGUUCGGAAUAGCUCCUGGAAACGGGUGGUAAUGCCGAAUGUGCCCUUCGGGGGAAAGAUUUAUCGCCUUUAGAGCGGCCCGCGUCUGAUUAGCUUGUUGGUGAGGUAAUGGCUCACCAAGGCUACGAUCAGUAGCUGGUCUGAGAGGAUGACCAGCCACAUUGGGACUGAGACACGGACCCAAACUCCUACGGGAGGCAGCAGGUGGGGAAUCGUUGCGCAAGUGGGACGAAAGCCGUGACCGCAGCCAUGCCGCGUGUAUGAUGAAGGUCUUAGGAUUAGUAAAAUUAC